UGUGAUGUAGCUUAGAGGUAGAACAUUUGCCUAUCACGCACAAAGCCCUCGGUUCAAACCCCAGCAUCACCA
This 72-nucleotide transfer RNA is filed under the name Ictidomys tridecemlineatus (thirteen-lined ground squirrel). Its description in RNAcentral is "Spermophilus tridecemlineatus (thirteen-lined ground squirrel) tRNA". It matches the Rfam family "tRNA". Rfam says of the family: Transfer RNA (tRNA) molecules are approximately 80 nucleotides in length. Their secondary structure includes four short double-helical elements and three loops (D, anti-codon, and T loops). Lineage: Eukaryota; Metazoa; Chordata; Mammalia; Rodentia; Sciuridae. The record is from Rfam by way of RNAcentral.